CCCAAAGAAUGGAAUGCCUCUCUACC
RNAcentral lists this non-coding RNA (26 nucleotides) under Mus musculus (house mouse). The record is from RNAcentral. Lineage: Eukaryota; Metazoa; Chordata; Mammalia; Rodentia; Muridae.